This 164-nucleotide non-coding RNA is filed under the name uncultured Sutterella sp. Its description in RNAcentral is "Lysine riboswitch". It matches the Rfam family "Lysine riboswitch aptamer". Rfam says of the family: Riboswitches are metabolite binding domains within certain messenger RNAs that serve as precision sensors for their corresponding targets. Allosteric rearrangement of mRNA structure is mediated by ligand binding, and this results in modulation of gene expression. Lineage: Bacteria; Pseudomonadati; Pseudomonadota; Betaproteobacteria; Burkholderiales; Sutterellaceae. The record is from RNAcentral.
UGGAUAGAGGCGCGGUGCGAAUCAGUAAUCAGCCGAGGGGACACCCUAAAACACUGAUGAAAGGUCAAACCGCCGAAACCGCAAGACCGUAAGUCUUGUGCAGUUGGGCAUGGAGAGAAUAUCCCCAUGACUCCCACGGGCCUGAAAACCUGUGGAGGAGCUAU